RNAcentral lists this ribosomal RNA (447 nucleotides) under uncultured bacterium. RNAcentral describes it as "bacterial SSU rRNA". It matches the Rfam family "Bacterial small subunit ribosomal RNA", at positions 355 to 825 of the family's 1533-position model. The record is from RNAcentral.
UGGGGAAUUUUGGACAAUGGGCGCAAGCCUGAUCCAGCAAUGCCGCGUGAGUGACGAAGGCCUUAGGGUUGUAAAGCUCUUUUGGCGGGGAAGAUAAUGACGGUACCCGCAGAAUAAGCUCCGGCUAACUUCGUGCCAGCAGCCGCGGUAAUACGAAGGGAGCUAGCGUUGUUCGGAAUCACUGGGCGUAAAGCGCACGUAGGUGGGCAGUUAAGUCAGGGGUGAAAGCCCGAGGCUCAACCUCGGAAUUGCCUCUGAUACUGGCUGUCUAGAGUUCGAGAGAGGUGAGUGGAAUUCCUAGUGUAGAGGUGAAAUUCGUAGAUAUUAGGAAGAACACCGGUGGCGAAGGCGGCUCACUGGCUCGAUACUGACACUGAGGUGCGAAAGUGUGGGGAGCAAACAGGAUUAGAUACCCUCGUAGUCCCUGAGCGGGCUGGCAAGGCGCAU